This 593-nucleotide ribosomal RNA is filed under the name Monomitopus garmani. Its description in RNAcentral is "partial 16S ribosomal RNA". It matches the Rfam family "Bacterial large subunit ribosomal RNA", at positions 1808 to 2606 of the family's 2925-position model. Lineage: Eukaryota; Metazoa; Chordata; Actinopteri; Ophidiiformes; Ophidiidae. The record is from RNAcentral.
CAAAAACAUCGCCUCUUGCAAAAGUAAUGAAUAAGAGGUCCCGCCUGCCCUGUGACUAUAAGUUUAACGGCCGCGGUAUUUUGACCGUGCGAAGGUAGCGCAAUCACUUGUCUCUUAAAUGGAGACCCGUAUGAAUGGCACGACGAGGGCUUAGCUGUCUCCUCUUUCAGGUCAGUGAAAUUGAUCUCCCCGUGCAGAAGCGGGGAUAACUACAUAAGACGAGAAGACCCUAUGGAGCUUUAGACACUAAAGCAGCCCAUGUUAAGCGUACCCGAUCACCGGUCUAAACUAAUUGGGGACUGCCCUACUGUCUUUGGUUGGGGCGACCGCGGGGAAAAACAAAACCCCCAUGUGGAAUGGGAGGAAGCCCUCCUAAAACCCAGAGUCACACCUCUAAGAAUCAGAAUUUCUGACCAUAAUGAUCCGGCAAAGCCGAUCAACGAACCGAGUUACCCUAGGGAUAACAGCGCAAUCCCCUUUUAGAGUCCAUAUCGACAAGGGGGUUUACGACCUCGAUGUUGGAUCAGGACAUCCUAAUGGUGCAGCCGCUAUUAAGGGUUCGUUUGUUCAACGAUUAAAGUCCUACGUGAUCU